GACGAACGCUGGCGGCGUGCCUAAUACAUGCAAGUAGAACGCACAGUUUAUACCGUAGCUUGCUACACCAUAGACUGUGAGUUGCGAACGGGUGAGUAACGCGUAGGUAACCUGCCUGGUAGCGGGGGAUAACUAUUGGAAACGAUAGCUAAUACCGCAUAAUAUUAAUUAUUGCAUGAUAAUUAAUUGAAAGGUGCAAUUGCACCACUACCAGAUGGCCCUGCGUUGUAUUAGCUAGUAGGUGAGGUAACGGCUCACCUAGGCGACGAUACAUAGCCGACCUGAGAGGGUGAUCGGCCACACUGGGACUGAGACACGGCCCAGACUCCUACGGGAGGCAGCAGUAGGGAAUCUUCGGCAAUGGACGAAAGUCUGACCGAGAAACGCCGCGUGAGUGAAGAAGGUUUUCGGAUCGUAAAGCUCUGUUGUAAGAGAAGAACGGGUGUGAGAGUGGAAAGUUCACACUGUGACGGUAUCUUAACAGAAAGGGACGGCUAACUACGUG
Molecule: ribosomal RNA, 505 nt
Filed under: uncultured bacterium
Lineage: Bacteria
Description: partial 16S ribosomal RNA
Rfam family: Bacterial small subunit ribosomal RNA
Source: RNAcentral